RNAcentral lists this ribosomal RNA (458 nucleotides) under uncultured Gammaproteobacteria bacterium. Its description in RNAcentral is "bacterial SSU rRNA". It matches the Rfam family "Bacterial small subunit ribosomal RNA", at positions 410 to 860 of the family's 1533-position model. Lineage: Bacteria; Pseudomonadati; Pseudomonadota; Gammaproteobacteria. The record is from RNAcentral.
GAAGGCCUUCGGGUUGUAAAGCACUUUAAGCAGGGAGAAAAAGUUAUAAGUUAAUACCUUAUAACCGUGUUGUUACCUGCAGAAUAAGCACCGGCUAAUUCCGUGCCAGCAGCCGCGGUAAUACGGAAGGUGCAAGCGUUAAUCGGAAUUACUGGGCGUAAAGCGCGCGUAGGUGGUUUGUUAAGUUGGAUGUGAAAGCCCUGGGCUCAACCUAGGAACUGCAUCCAAAACUAACUCACUAGAGUACGAUAGAGGGAGGUAGAAUUCAUAGUGUAGCGGUGGAAUGCGUAGAUAUUAUGAAGAAUACCAGUGGCGAAGGCGGCCUCCUGGAUCUGUACUGACACUGAGGUGCGAAAGCGUGGGUAGCGAACAGGAUUAGAUACCCUGGUAGUCCACGCCGUAAACGAUGACAACUAGCUGUUGGGAAACAAUGUUUUUCAGUGGCGCAGCUAACGUUU